AGUGAACGCUGGCGGUAGGCCUAACACAUGCAAGUCGAACGGCAGCACAGUAAGAGCUUGCUCUUACGGGUGGCGAGUGGCGGACGGGUGAGGAAUACAUCGGAAUCUACUUUUUCGUGGGGGAUAACGUAGGGACACUUACGCUAAUACCGCAUACGACCUACGGGUGAAAUCAGGGGAUCUUCGGACCUUGCGCGAUUGAAUGAGCCGAUGUCGGAUUAGCUAGUUGGCGGGGUAAAGGCCCACCAAGGCGACGAUCCGUAGCUGGUCUGAGAGGAUGAUCAGCCACACUGGAACUGAGACACGGUCCAGACUCCUACGGGAGGCAGCAGUGGGGAAUAUUGGACAAUGGGCGAAAGCCUGAUCCAGCCAUACCGCGUGGGUGAAGAAGGCCUUCGGGUUGUAAAGCCCUUUUGUUGGGAAAGAAAAGCAGCAGGUUAAUACCCCGCUGUUCUGACGGUACCCAAAGAAUAAGCACCGGCUAACUUCGUG
This 492-nucleotide ribosomal RNA is filed under the name uncultured bacterium. RNAcentral's name for it is "partial 16S ribosomal RNA". It matches the Rfam family "Bacterial small subunit ribosomal RNA", at positions 29 to 507 of the family's 1533-position model. The record is from RNAcentral.